Anolis carolinensis (green anole) is the source of this 3162-nucleotide long non-coding RNA. RefSeq lists it as uncharacterized. The transcript is spliced from 4 exons. The record is from RefSeq and is a predicted model, not a curated record. NCBI's taxonomy places the organism in Eukaryota, Metazoa, Chordata, Lepidosauria, Squamata, Anolidae.
AACACAAAGAUGCAGGAGAGAACUGAAUAUAUAUAUAUAUUCUAGUAACCUCACAUCACCUGCCCUCCACUUUCAGUGACAGAUUGGAAACUAAAACCAUUGCCGAGUAAAAUCCACUUCCUCUUUACCCUUGAGGGCCUUAUCGCAUGAGGUAAGUAAAUUGCAAUUGUAUCUGGAUAAUAACUCCUUCAAUUGAAGCUUAUCACAUAAUGUCAUUGUUCUUGUGUUGUUCUCCCAUGAGAUGCCGUUUGGAGAACACAACAUUUUCCAUUCUUUUAUAAUAGCACAAACAUUUAUCAAUGACCUCAUUUCCUGCUUCUGUUGUGCUACGAUUUCCUGUGUGCAUAGUCAAUUACUCUUUUAUGUCAACUUUGAGAGGUCAAUGAGCACACUUUGGGUGUAGAAACAUGAGGGGAAAAGGAGAAAGGGUGAGUAUUUCAAUUUGAUUUCCUUUCAGUUGGCAAAUUUACUGCAAGAAACUUUAAUUUUGUAAAACUUUUUUCUCUAUAUAGAAAAGAAUCAAUUACUCUGCCCCACAAUGGGGCUUUUUAAGAAAAGCCAAACCUUGCUCACUGCCCCUCAGCUAUCUCAUCUCCUUUUCCAUCCUGUUCUGGAGUUUCAGUGCUAUAACACCACAAUGUCCAAAUGCCUUCAUUUAUUCUCAACCCCUUCCACCCCUCUUUCUGUCUCUCACCUGGAAAUGUAAGAGGAAAAGCCAAAAGAGUCUUACAAUUUUAAAAACCAUUUCUUUGAUCACCACCCCCCCCCUCUUUCUUGCUGUUGCCUCCUUCAGACUAAGUGAUGUCAUGGGAAUAGAUCAGACAUAUAGAUCAGUUGCUGCUGCAUUUCCUCUGCCAAUGAUUAGUUACAUCUGAAGAGACUGAUCUAUCUUGAUCAGGAAGCCACCCUUCCCUUAAAAAGCCCUUUAAAAGGCUGUUUCUGACCAAUGGCAAUCCUAAGAUGACGAUCCUUCAUGUGCCAUGCAUUGCUUGUGUUCUCCCAGACCAGUGGAUUGAUCACAAGUGUCAGAAGAACAAUCUGCUGUAAACAGCAACCUCAACACAACACAAUUUCAUGAAUGGAAGAUAUCCAGCAGCAGCUGUCAAGUUCCAGGAAGACUCCAUAACGCCCACUGCCAGAAAAAGGAUUAACUCUUAUCUGAUCUGCCUCCUAGCUCUCUUUGACUCUGCCACUUACAUCCGCAUUCUAGCCCUUUCCUGGGCAACAGCUUUUUCCAGCUUCUAUGAAGGACCCCACCAACAGCCCCUUCCUCCACACUCAUGCCCCAACGUAUCACCCCACACCAAACCAUCAAAAACCCCACUGGGCCCGGAAAUGGCACCUUUUCCUAUGGGCAGCCUCUGCCAUUGACUUGCAUUGAGGCUGUCCUCAGGUGAACUCUGUUAGGGUAUAAUGAAGCUCAAUACCAAGAAUGUAUGUCUUAAAGAAAACUAUACAGCUGAUCAUAACAUGCAGGAGCUAAUCUAGGUCAGCAUUUAAGCAAUUAAGUUUGGAUCACACCCAGUGGUUGUGUGUGUGUAUUAGCUUCUACUUUUGUUUUUAGUUUCGCUUUUGCUUUUGCUGAAGAAGCUGAAGAAGCCAUGUUCUUUGUAUCUUGCAAUGCUUUUCGCAUCUUGAAAUGCUUACAAGGACCAUGUAAGUUUACUAUACUGUAAGAUUUAUGUUUUGAUGCAACACUGCAAAUUUAUGUUUGGACUCUGCUGUAAAGAGUAAAGUUUAUUUCUUUUCCUUUUGGAACUGUGCAAAGUUACUGUGUCUUUGUUGGAUUAGACUGAAUUCCGCUUGAAGCACAACAAACUCGCCCUUGACCUAGUUCCCAGGCCUGCCAUUGAAGUGAAUAUUGAAACUUGUUUUAUUGUCUUCUACUGGGUGCUUCCUCCUUAUAUUUGGCCAGUGGGUCUGGGGGGGGGGGGGAGCUCACUCACAUCCUCCAUUAUCCACUCCUGAAUUCCGCUCCUCUUUCUAUCCUCCCCUAACCAAACUGUAUCCAACAGCCCUAUCCUUCUCUCAAGCCCAGGGUCCCACACAAUGUUUCUGCCCCCAUCCCUGCAGGCAUGGAGACCACAUAGGGUCUCCUUAUGCUCUGCAAAGCCCUUCUUUGACUUCUUUGGGGGUCUCAACAGGCUCCAGGAGCCCUUGUGUAUCCUCUAGUCUUUCCUGACUUUCUGUCCCUUUUCUAUCCCUUUUCUUCCCCAUAAUGGGAGGUAGGAGCCCCUUGGGGACCUUUAUGCGCCCCUCCUGUCCACGUCCAGCCACCCUUGGGUUCGGGUCUCCAGUACAGGAAAUCCCCCGCAAUCCUUGGGCUCCACGUAUAUGUGUAUAUGUUUUAAUCCUAUGCUUUAUAUCUCUAUAUAAAAUAUAUUUAUGAUGCCAGCCACUGAACGUGAUCUUUUCCUGCCCUGGGAAUGCCAGUCAACAAUCCUUCCUGGGCAUCAUUUGCAUUAAACAAAGAACACAAUCAUCUACAUCUGACUCAUAACUGGGCUGAAAGGAGGGCUACCAGAUCCAUUAAAGGGAUCGCCAGUUCUCUGAAUAAGCCAUAUGGACAUACAAAGCUACCUUCCUCUUGGCAGGACCAUUUCCUCGAAGGGUUAGUUAUGUCCCGCUUCCAAGAACAAUGCCAUUCCCCUUCGUUGUUUCCCCAGCCGUUGACUCAUCUAAAUCCUCUCUGGAUGGACAAUAUUUCUCUGCCAUGGACAAACCAGGAAACAACACUGGAGGCAUUGGAAAGCAAUCGCCUACAUAUCUUUAUCAAUAAAGGCUUUUCAGGGUCUUGUAAGGUCCUUUGUUAUCCCAGUCUGGGGCCCUCAUAAUCCAAUCAUAGGAUCAUUCUCAGCACCAUUGUUUCCUGAACUGCUGGCCCCUCUCCUUUCAUUAGGCAUCAAGAGCGAGAUGCACUCUCCCAUUGGCCGGCAAGGGCAGAGCUUCUGCCUUUUCCGGGAACCUCCUCUGAUGUCAACGGGGCUCAGCCAAUCAUGGCAGAGUCGGUACAGCUGGGCGGGAGCAGGAAAUUUGAAUGUGCUUUGUAUAAAAAUGCCUGUUUUUCAAUGUAAUGGAUCUCAGCUUAUCUUUCAUGGAUUACCAGUUUGCUGACAUCACUUUCAGUUGAUUGAAUAAACUGCCUUGGUGGCUUCAUCUUCA